GGCGGGUCUCCUUGCAUGAUGAUUUAGAACAACGGGUCAGGGGCGGAAGCCAGCAGCCCACUCUAAAAAGUCAGUGCCGAGGGUUUGGCUCGCCACC
Molecule: signal recognition particle RNA, 97 nt
Filed under: Alysiella sp.
Lineage: Bacteria; Pseudomonadati; Pseudomonadota; Betaproteobacteria; Neisseriales; Neisseriaceae
Description: signal recognition particle sRNA small type
Rfam family: Bacterial small signal recognition particle RNA
About the family: The signal recognition particle (SRP) is a universally conserved ribonucleoprotein involved in the co-translational targeting of proteins to membranes. Archaeal SRP consists of a 7S RNA and homologues of the eukaryotic SRP19 and SRP54 proteins.
Source: RNAcentral